Dromaius novaehollandiae (emu) is the source of this 1635-nucleotide long non-coding RNA. RefSeq lists it as uncharacterized. The transcript has 3 exons. The record is from RefSeq and is a predicted model, not a curated record. Lineage: Eukaryota; Metazoa; Chordata; Aves; Casuariiformes; Dromaiidae.
UUUGUCCCUAAUGUCUCUAUCACAGUUUUCACUAACAGCAAGCUAAGUACAGUAGUGCUCUCAGCCCUGUGCAAAUACAGACUGAUGGUACAAUGUCUGCUUGAACCCAGUACUGCUAAGGCAGUGCAUGCUCAUCUUUUUAGUGCACAGAGGUAACUCUGCCACUACCAAAACUUGAGGCAUCGCGUAUUUUGCUUCAACGUGUGGGUGAGCUGCCUCGGUGCAUCAUAAAACUCCCCAAGGUGCCUUUUGGGGGAGGAAGUCUUGCAUUUGUCUAGCCAUAGGCCAAGCACCUCUUCACAUCAGUAGGAAGUACCAGCAUUACUGUAGCAGGUAGUAUAAUUGCAUACCUGUGGUACUCAACAAUUUAACUUCCAUUGUGUUUUAGUCUUACAAAUUUCAUCUGAAAAGUUCAACUUUCUUUUAUAUGAAAGAAUGAGAAAAGCAGCUGUGAUACUUGAUGCUGUUUCCCACUCUCUCUAGGAUGGCUGUGGGGAACAACUCAGCAACCACAUGUCAGAAGACACUUCAGGGUGAUGGGCAAGGUUGCUGAGCUGCAGGACAAGAAAUGCAAGAAGAUAUGAGAUGUAACACAGGAGUUGGGAUAAGGAAGCAGAAGGACCAAGACAGAAUGGAAGAAAGGAAAAGAGUGCAGAAAAGAAGUUGAUGGGAUUACGAACGCUUAAACUGUAAACUCUUUGAGAGAGGGACCCUCUUUUCAUUUUAUUGUGUGCAGUGAAUGAAACAACAGCCCACAAUCGAUCGCUGAGGGGGGUCUGUCAGCAGACUGCAGGACUGUAACAAGGCAAACAGGUUUCCCGCUGUCCUCUACACUGGCAGCUCUUCAGCUCACCUAGCUGGCUCUAAAGCAGCAGCUGUCCUACGGACAGCAUGGUGAAAUAGAAAGCUUCUGCUAUUAUGGUGGUGGCACUGCAGAAAUCCGUAUUAACCUCUGGGUUUUGCCAGAAGGCCCAGGAGCUCUGCGCUUUGCAGAGCAGUUAUGUUCUGAAAAGGUUGUUCCUAGAGAAACUGUGCAGCAAACUGGGCCUGCUUUAUGUCCUCUCCUAGGAGCAGAGAGGAAGAAACGUGUCUCCAAGGCAGGCAGGGAGCUGAUGAUUGUGGUUAAAUGGCAGAGAAGAAGAAGCAGGGAUGGAUCCAUUUUUCAUGAAGGGCAGAGGGAGGAUAGAAGGGCACGUGCUGUGCUCUUCCCUCUUUGGGGGUAAUCUGAAGAGCAGUGGGCUCUCCCGUUUUCUGAUAAAUCUGAUUUUGCACCCUUGAAAAACGCAAAGGCGCUGCUUUAACAGGACACUUGCGUCUCUCUGCAAGGCCCUUCUGCUUCAGAGGUACAGAGAUGGAGACCCAAGUUUGGGAAAAGAUCAGGUAGUAAUAUUAGCAGAAGAGUCCUGCAGAGGUUGGGGGGGGGGGGGGGGAGCAAACCUGUAUGGUUUUACUGGGAUUAUGGAGAGAAAAAGCAUUACUUGAGAGAGGCCAGAAAGACCCUUUAGCUGGUCAGAUGUUUUCUAAGAAAACUAUUUUAACUUGUCUGUCUUUCAGAAAGAGUGAUAGUUUCUGAUGUAAAGUUUCUUCAUUGUUUUAAAGUAUGUCUGUCAAUAAAAACUACAUAGAGGAAAAAAA